CGUUAUCCACCCCACCCGUGCACCUGACUAAUGGGUGAAUGAACAGAUGGGCAAAUACUUCCUCGAGUCUAGAUAUUUACAUAAAAAUCAAAAGAGUUUUUCUACUGUAUGUUUUAUGGUGAUAUAAAGCAGGCCAGUGAGCUUCUAUCAUCAGAACCCAUGAGAUUUUUUUUUAAGCGUAAGUGGUGUCUAUGGCAAUUUUUACUUGUUCAGUAAUUCUUCAGUUCAUAAAUUUUAUGAAGGACUGAAGAACUAAAAGAAUGUCUGGCAUAGCUGUGGAGUAGUUCUGGAAAACUGAUGACACCACUUAUAUUGUUCCCAUUUACCAGGCCUUCAUUACCCAUUACCAGUUUAAAGACCAUUAUGUGCUCAUCCAGGUGCUGAUCGUCUGUGCACAAGUCUUUGCAUCCAGAAAAUCCACCAGUUUUGUAGCACUCUGAAAAAACUCCUUGUUGCCAUGGAGAUAUGCUUCCUUAACAAUGAAUCCUUCUUGAAGGUAGAGGGCACUGGCAAGAUUAAAUGUAAAUUCCUGUUUCUUCCUCGAGAUGGCUGAGAAAAGUGACUUCAGCACAGAAAAUUCCUCUCCUUCAAAACAAUUAUAACAUAUACUGACAUACUGAACAACAUGAAAACAGUAGCUUUUUAACUAUGUCACCUGCUCUGAUUCACACCACCAGUUUUCCAUGCCGGGACCUAACUAUGGAAAGUCAGUAUAAAGAUAAGGAACAUUUACCUCCUGUACA
Molecule: long non-coding RNA, 743 nt
Organism: Mesocricetus auratus (golden hamster)
Lineage: Eukaryota; Metazoa; Chordata; Mammalia; Rodentia; Cricetidae
Exons: 3
Source: RefSeq, a predicted model, not a curated record